RNAcentral lists this ribosomal RNA (506 nucleotides) under uncultured bacterium. RNAcentral's name for it is "partial 16S ribosomal RNA". It matches the Rfam family "Bacterial small subunit ribosomal RNA", at positions 28 to 523 of the family's 1533-position model. The record is from RNAcentral.
GAUGAACGCUGGCGGCAUGCCUAAUACAUGCAAGUCGAACGGCAGCACAGGGGAGCUUGCUCCCUGGGUGGCGAGUGGCGGACGGGUGAGGAAUACACCGGAAUCUACCCUUUCGUGGGGGAUAACGUAGGGAAACUUACGCUAAUACCGCAUACGAUCUGAGGAUGGAAGCAGGGGACCGCAAGGCCUUGCGCGAUUGGAUGAGCCGAUGUCCGAUUAGCUAGUUGGCGGGGUAAAGGCCCACCAAGGCGACGAUCGGUAGCUGGUCUGAGAGGAUGAUCAGCCACACUGGAACUGAGACACGGUCCAGACUCCUACGGGAGGCAGCAGUGGGGAAGAUUGGACAAUGGGCGCAAGCCUGAUCCAGCCAUGCCGCGUGUGUGGAGAAGGCCUUCGGGUUGUAAAGCACUUUUGUUGGGAAAGAAAUCCUGUCGGCUAAUACCCGGCGGGGAUGACGGUACCCAAAGAAUAAGCACCGACUAACUACGUGCCAGCAGCCGCAGUAA